UACAGAGGGGGCAAGCGUUAUUCGGGCUUAUUGGGCGUAAAGGGCGCGUGGGCGGUUUCUUAAGUCAGAUGUGUAAUCCCCGAGCUUAACUUGGGAACUGCAUCUGAGACUGGGAGGCUAGAGUACUGGAGAGGGUGGUGGAAUUCCUCGUGUAGCGGUGAAAUGCGUAGAGAUGAGGAGGAACACCAGUGGCGAAGGCGGCCACCUGGACAGUAACUGACGCUGAGGCGCGAAAGUGUGGGUAGCAAACAGG
Molecule: ribosomal RNA, 253 nt
Filed under: uncultured bacterium
Lineage: Bacteria
Description: partial 16S ribosomal RNA
Rfam family: Bacterial small subunit ribosomal RNA
Source: RNAcentral